UAUUUUUUAUUUUUUUGUGGAUAAGAGUAGGAGGAAUGCUGCAAGGUUAUACGAAUAUGGAUUAGAAUUUGCUUGCUUGCAGAUGUGUCAAAUUGCAGGACUUUCAAAAACCCAAAUCAAAGUUGUAUGACUUUUGGCAACAAGGAAACAGGUUCAAGUCAAAGUGUUGAAUCUUGAAAUUGUCAACUAGCAAGAUGAUUGGAGAGAGUUCAAAAAAAGCUGAGAAAAUAAUUAGAAAGGAGCGUGAAGCUAUAAUUGCUGCGAUAAUGGAUGAAAGAAGAAAUACAUCAUUCAGAAUUUUAGAUGAGUGUUCUACUUCUCCACAUGUUGAAUCACAUGAUAUGGAAGGAGUUGUAGACUCCACUCAAGUACCAAAGAAGAAAACUAGGG
Molecule: non-coding RNA, 390 nt
Organism: Camellia sinensis
Lineage: Eukaryota; Viridiplantae; Streptophyta; Magnoliopsida; Ericales; Theaceae
Source: RefSeq, a predicted model, not a curated record